CACACUACAUGCCAAAUAAGCAACAUAGGCAGUCUUUAUUCUCAUGGAGCUGCUAUUCCAGUGAGGGAAGGCAGAAAGAAAGCAGGUAGACAGGUAUUAAAAAUGAUGACAUUUCAAAUAGCUUUCAGAGUUAUCACAAAAAUAAAGAUGAGGAGUGGAAUAUGGGGAAAGAAUGACUGGAGGAGGCAGUGCUUUAAAUGUAAUGAUAGGAAAGUUACCCUUGAGGAGAUCUAUCUAAUCCAAAGCCUAAAAUAUGAAAAGCAGUUAGGCUGCUGAAAAUAUGAGAGAAACUGCUCUUAAGCAGAGUGUGAACACCCGGAGGCAGGAACACCCAGCGUAAACACCCAGAGGUGGAGUCAAGAUUGGAAAUGUGUGGGAGAGGAAGAAAACUAGGGCAUUUGAGGUCUAAUGAAACAGGCUGUAAGAAAGAGAUGAUGUAGAAGUAGUCAGGAGCUGGAUGGUGUAGAGUCCUGUGGACUAUGAUUUGAGAAAGUCCAUGCAUGGGAGCAGGACAAAGAGAAAUAAUCUGAUCAUCCCUAAGAGGUUUCAAGAAUGAGCAAUUGCGUAAAGCUGAGUCCUGGAAGGCUGCCUGUAGGGGGCAGUAUGUGGUCUGGCCUUAAGGACAAACGGAAUUUUCACCGGAGAAGACUGUGGCGGGGGCUUUUCAGGAGGAAUGAAUAGGAAGAGUACAGGAGGCUGUAUAGCAGCAGGUGGCUUUGUUUGGUUGGAAAACACUCCAAGUGAAAAGGCAUUGUGAAGAAUGGAAGAGCUACUGAGAAACCAGCCUAUGGAGUUUGGCUGUCUCUCCUAGUCACAAAUAAGGAGCUGUUACUGGUUUUUGUCAAAAGAACAGGAUGAUCACAUCUGUGCCUUAGGACACUUUAGAUGGGGCAGAACAGGUACAGGGGAUGUGGUGGGGGAAGAAAUGACUCGAUUUCAAACAAAUCAAAUAAAUUACUUUGAUGUUUAAAAAAAAAAAAUAAAAUUGUUUGUUUUUAUAGAAAUAGUGUUACUGGGUAAACAGGUAUGAAAAUCAUUGAACUGAGAUAUAAUGGGAAAUUACUUUCUACAAAGAUGGUACCAACCUAUAUUCUGACUAGCAGUGGUUUAAAGUGCUCUCAAGAGUACUUGAUAAUACAUUUAAUUUUUUUUUUGUACUUACAAUGGGCCAGUAACCAUUUCAGUCUCCAGAAAUAUGGUGGCAAACAUACAUCUUUGCUACUGUAGAGCUUAAAUUCUAAAUAGACAAGAGCAUUUCACAACUGGUAAGUGCUAUAAAGAAAAUUAGGGGAAGAAAGUGGAAAGUUAUUGCCAUCUGAGGCUAUAAGCACAUUAGAUAAAGUGACCAGGAAGAUUCCUUUGAGGAAGUGAUAUUUAAGCUGAGACCUGAAUAAUGAGAAGGAUCUACCCCAUGAAGACCAACGGGAAGAAUUUUUUU
Molecule: long non-coding RNA, 1438 nt
Filed under: Homo sapiens (human)
Lineage: Eukaryota; Metazoa; Chordata; Mammalia; Primates; Hominidae
Description: HSALNT0335137
Source: RNAcentral